GCCCCGGUGGCGAAAUUGGUAGACGCAACGGACUUAAAAUCCGUAGGCCGCGAGGCUGUGCCGGUUCGAGUCCGGCCCGGGGCACCA
Molecule: transfer RNA, 87 nt
Filed under: Gammaproteobacteria bacterium
Lineage: Bacteria; Pseudomonadati; Pseudomonadota; Gammaproteobacteria
Description: tRNA-Leu
Rfam family: tRNA
About the family: Transfer RNA (tRNA) molecules are approximately 80 nucleotides in length.
Source: RNAcentral